Molecule: ribosomal RNA, 393 nt
Filed under: uncultured bacterium
Lineage: Bacteria
Description: partial 16S ribosomal RNA
Rfam family: Bacterial small subunit ribosomal RNA
Source: RNAcentral
AUACGGAGGAUCCGAGCGUUAUCCGGAUUUAUUGGGUUUAAAGGGAGCGUAGGUGGAUAGUUAAGUCAGUUGUGAAAGUUUGCGGCUCAACCGUAAAAUUGCAGUUGAUACUGGCUGUCUUGAGUACAGUAGAGGUGGGCGGAAUUCGGGGGGUAGCGGUGAAAUGCUUAGAUAUCACGAAGAACUCCGAUUGCGAAGGCAGCUCACUGGACUGCAACUGACACUGAUGCUCGAAAGUGUGGGUAUCAAACAGGAUUAGAUACCCUGGUAGUCCACACAGUAAACGAUGAAUACUCGCUGUUUGCGAUAUACAGUAAGCGGCCAAGCGAAAGCAUUAAGUAUUCCACCUGGGGAGUACGCCGGCAACGGUGAAACUCAAAGGAAUUGACGGGG